AAGAGUGUACAGCUUAAAUAGUUAGAAAUGAGAUUAGCACUUAGUUUUGGAAACAUCUUGGUUUUCAUUGCGAUAUUCUCUGAAUUGCUUCAAGAUUAUCAAAUUGAAUGCCGACGUGGGCGGUUCAAAGUGAGAAGUGGAGGGGGGUCAAGUGCCUCUGAUGGUACAUGGUGGAUAUACUUGGUCGCUAUUUUUGGAGUAGUCAUCUUUUUGAGCGCCGUCUGGUAUAUUUGCAAAAAGUGCCGAUAGCUGUACAUGUGUCUCAUUGAAUCCAUGAAUAAAUCCAUACUUUCCUGUGCCAAAACGAUCGAACUGGUUGAACAGUAGUGCGGUGGAACUGGAGGAUUUCGUUUUCAAAAAUUUAUACAGUUUCAAACAUUUAUUUAGUAGCAUUCUAGUUCUAUCUAAAGGUGUAAUUAAACAUUUCUUUACUUUUUGUUAAUGAGUACUUGCUUACAAAAGUUAAUCAAAGCGUUUGUUAACUGUAUGCCUACUCUGAAUAAAUUAGAUCUU
Mercenaria mercenaria is the source of this 513-nucleotide long non-coding RNA. RefSeq lists it as uncharacterized. The transcript is spliced from 3 exons. Lineage: Eukaryota; Metazoa; Mollusca; Bivalvia; Venerida; Veneridae. The record is from RefSeq and is a predicted model, not a curated record.